ACGUAGGAGGCAAACGUUAUCCGGAUUUACUGGGCGUAAAGCGCGUGUAGGUGGUUCUGUAAGUAGGGCGUGAAAGCUCCUGGCUCAACUGGGAGAGGCCGAUCUAAACUGCAGAGCUAGAGGAUGGAAGAGGGAGGUGGUAUUCCGGGUGUAGGAGUGAAAUGCUGUGAUCCCUGGAGGACCACCAGUGGCGAAGGCGGCUCACCGGGACAUUUCCGACAGUGAGGCGCGAAAGCUAGGGUAGCAAACCG
This 251-nucleotide ribosomal RNA is filed under the name uncultured prokaryote. RNAcentral's name for it is "partial 16S rRNA". It matches the Rfam family "Bacterial small subunit ribosomal RNA", at positions 525 to 775 of the family's 1533-position model. The record is from RNAcentral.